Molecule: ribosomal RNA, 481 nt
Filed under: uncultured bacterium
Lineage: Bacteria
Description: bacterial SSU rRNA
Rfam family: Bacterial small subunit ribosomal RNA
Source: RNAcentral
ACAGGCCUAACACAUGCAAGUCGAGGGCGAGCACAAGGAGCAAUCUGAGGUGGCGACCGGCGCACGGGUGAGUAACACGUAUGCAACCUGCCUGUAAGCGGGGAAUAACCCGUUGAAAGACGGACUAAUACCGCAUAAUACUAAAUUACUGCAUGGUAAUUAUUUAAACAUUUAUGGCUUACAGAUGGGCAUGCGCAUGAUUAGCUAGUUGGAGAGGUAACGGCUCCCCAAGGCAACGAUCAUUAGGGGUUCUGAGAGGAAGGUCCCCCACACUGGUACUGAGACACGGACCAGACUCCUACGGGAGGCAGCAGUGAGGAAUAUUGGUCAAUGGACGAGAGUCUGAACCAGCCAAGUCGCGUGCAGGAAGAAUGUCCUAAUGGAUUGUAAACUGCUUUUGCAGGGGAAUAAAGUGCAUCACGUGUGAUGUUUUGUAUGUACUCUGCGAAUAAGGAUCGGCUAACUCCGUGCCAGCAGCCGC